AUGCAUCUAACGAGUUCCAAAUAGGACGAAACGCGCGUCCCGGAU
Molecule: non-coding RNA, 45 nt
Filed under: Schistosoma mattheei
Lineage: Eukaryota; Metazoa; Platyhelminthes; Trematoda; Strigeidida; Schistosomatidae
Source: RNAcentral